Molecule: long non-coding RNA, 641 nt
Filed under: Solanum tuberosum (potato)
Lineage: Eukaryota; Viridiplantae; Streptophyta; Magnoliopsida; Solanales; Solanaceae
Description: long non-coding RNA (STUB_LNC010897)
Source: RNAcentral
UUCUACACAUUUUAACUGCUACAAAAGGUUAUAAGUAGAGAAUCUCAUCCAAAAAAAUCAAAUUAGAUCAAUGUUGUGCCUUCAUCUUGAGAGGCUGUCCUGAUGAGUGGAUUUUUCAAAGCAAAUUGAUUUGAAUUUUGUCUAAACAAGUGUCCUCUAGGACAAAUAGCCUGUUGCAAAGGAAGUUCUCAGAAAUAGGGUUCACAAAUGAUGAGGUGCGGUUGCGGAGCAAACCCGCUAAUAUUUCAGUCCACCCUGCAUAGCACAAUUUGUUGUUUUCUACCCGCCCCACAUAAUUUGUUGUUUAUAUAUACCAGUAGUCUUGAAACUUCAUUUAUAUAAGUAACUUUUUAUUAUUCUGUCCCAAUUUCUGGACUCAUAUAUUUACUCCACUUUUUUUUCUUCUAAAGAAAAAAAAAGAUAAGGAAAAUUCAAAUGUUAACCUGGAAAAAAAAAUAAUGAGACGUGAACCCCCUGUUGCCAUCCCUACAGUCAGAAACAGUGGAGAAAAAUAUGAUGUACUUAUGACUUACUUCUUUUACUUAUUACCUCAACUUCCCAAUGCCUAUUCAAUAAUUGUGCUCACUUCUCCAACAUGUGAGACACUUUGGAGAGGAAGUUACUUAGGUGUUAAACAAUUU